AACAGUACAAAGAAAUUGUUGGCGAAACAGAGGGAGUGAGUGAGACGAUGGAAGCAGCGGUGAGCGUGGUGGCGGAGGCAGUGGUGAAUGUGCUAGCGGAGACCUUGACGGGCUUAUUGUCCGAGAACUUCCAGCUAAUCUCAGGCGUAGACGACGACGUUCAGAAGCUCCUCCGCUCCGUCAAUGGCUUCAAGUCUAUCCUCAAAGAAUACCGGAAAAUCAGGACGGAAAACGAAAUCGUUAAGCAGCUGGUGAAGGACAUCAUGGACGUCGUCUACCGAUCGGAAAACCUCAUCGACCAAUACGUCGUCGACGCCAAUAUCCACGCCGAGAAAAAGCUCACCAAUUUUGUCGAUUUCGGGAAGAAAAAGGAGGUUGCGAAAAAUAUCAAAACUAUUCUCGAUGAGAUCAAGGUAAUCCAGGAGAAGACGGAGUACCAGAAAGUGAUUGAAAAUAGCGUCUUGCCCCGAGAACAUGCCCCCUCUGUGCAGCAGAAGGCACCCAAAGUGGAAGAAGAGUAUGUGGUGGGGUUUGAUGGAGAGGCGAAAACAAUUAUCCAACGUCUUAGGGACGAAUCAAGUUAUGAAGUUAUUUCAGUUUUGGGUAUGGCUGGCCUCGGCAAAACCACAUUGGCCAACAAGGUAUUCAAGUCCCAAGAAAUUGAAUAUCAUUUCAUGCAUCGUGUUUGGAUUUAUGUUUCUCAAUUGUACAAGAAAAAGGAUGUCUAUCUGCAAAUUCUAAAGAAACUACAGCAGAGCAAUGAUACUGAUACCAGAGUGACUGAAGAAGAAUUAGCUCUCAAGAUUAAACAAGUUCUGGGGCUUGGAAAAUAUCUCAUUGUACUAGAUGAUGUUUGGACUAAAGAAGCAUUCGAAGAUAUCCUGCAUGAUGCUUUUCCAGAGAGGGCUGGUUGUAAAGUCUUAGUCACCACUCGGAAAGAUGAAGUGGCUAUGAUGGUAAAUUCUUUGGGAGAGCCUCAUCGCUUGAAAUUUCUAGAGCCCGGAGAAAGUUGGGAGCUACUUGAGAAAAAGGUUUUUAAAAAGGAAACCUGCCCGGAUGACUUAAAACCUUAUGGAGAAGAAGUAGCAAAAAAAUGUGGUGGUCUACCACUAGCAGUAGUGAUAAUUGCUGGUGUUUUGUCUGGCAAACCAAAAAUUCUAUCAGAAUGGCGUAAAGUGGCCAAUAGUUAUGAUUAUUUCUUUAGCAAUGAAAUACAGAAGAGCUACGAGGACUUAAUACGAUUGAGUUAUGAUGAUUUGCCAGAUGAGUUGAAGUGUUGCUUCCUUUAUUUGGGAGCCUUUCCUAAUGGCAAUGAUAUCCCUGCUGCAAAACUUAUGCAGCUAUGGAUUGCAGAGGGAUUCAUUGAGGAAGAAGGAGGAUUAAACAUGGAAGGCAUAGCAUGUGAAAAUUUGUGUGGUUUGGUGAGUAGGAAUCUAGUGAUGGCAACAAAAAGAAAGCCAGAUGGUGAAAUAAAAACUUGUCGCGUCCACGACAUGUUGCUCCAAUUUUGCAAAAAAGAAGCUAAGGGUGAAACUUUAUUCAAUGAAAUUAAUGAAACUAAUGACAUGAAUCAACAACAGGGUUCUUCUUGUCGCCUCCUAAGUGUUCACUGCGCUUUUGAGAAGUUCAUUUCUUCUACAAAGCCAAAGCAAAAACACCGGUCCUUAUUAUGUUUUGCGGCCUCAAAUGGAGUUCAGGUUCCUCCAAACACCAUUAUAUCACUCCGCAAGGCCUUUCCAUUGCUGAAGGUGUUACACUUUGCACCAGAUGAUUCUGUUACUUUCACUACUUGUCAUAAAGACAUUUUUCGGUUAUUCCAUCUCAGGUACAUUGCUAUCUCCACUACUGUCCAAAUUCUCCCUAAAGAGAUUGCGAACUUGCAGAAUGUGCAGACUCUUAUAGUUAGGACAACACGUCCUACUCUUGAAAUUAAAGGAGACAUAUGGAACAUGCCAAGGUUAAGGCAUUUUCAAACAAACGCUUCUGCCAAGCUUCCUUCGCUUUCUGCUUCGAAAACCAAGAGAGCUCCCUUUGCAAAUGAGAACUUGCAAACUCUGUCUAAGGUUUCACCAUUUAGCUGCACCCCUGCUGCACUUGCUAAGGCCUCCAAUAUCAAGAAAUUGGGCAUCCGGGGGACUUUGGCUAAACUAUUGGAGAUAGACCCAACUAGUGGAUCUAGUUUGUUCAAAAACCUGGGAAAGUUGAAGAAACUGGUGAAUCUUAAGCUGAUCAAUGACGGGGAAAAACUACAGCGCCUUCCUCAGAAAUAUGAAUUUCCAGAGAAUCUAAGGAAGCUGACCCUGUCUAAAACUUCCCUCCAAUGGAAAGAAUUAACUGUAUUGGGAACACUAGAGACGCUUGAAAUCCUCAAGUUGAUUGAGCGUGCAGCGGAAGGAGAGUAUUGGGAGCCUACCAUUGGCGGUUUUCUUUAUCUUCAGGUUUUGCAUAUUGAUAGGACGGAUUUGAGGUCCUGGAAUGCUUCAAAUAAAAACUUCCCAAGACUCAGAAGCCUUGUUCUUAGCCACUGUGAACAACUUGAGAUGAUUCCACUUGCACUGGCUGAUAUAAGCAGUCUUCAAGAGAUAGAGUUGAAACAUACCAAGAAAGCAAUCAAGUCUGCACAGGACAUACUCAAGCAGAAACAGAACCCAACUGAAAAAAGUAACCGCAGAUUCAAGCUCACUAUCUACCCUCCUCUGCCUCGGGAUCCUUCUCAAGCGAUAUGAUCGAGCUACUUUAAUUUUUCCAGGUGAUGAUAAUGGCGGGAGUUUGAUCUGAUGUUUGGUUGUUGUGUGGGACAACUAGUAUUUCAAUUCUUCGGAUGUUUGAUUGUUGAGUGGGACACCUGCUAUUUCGGAUGUGGUCGUUUUGAUGUUUGAUAAUUGUCAUGUGGGACACUUACUACUUCUUCGGAUGUGGUCGUUCUGAUGUUUGAUUGUCGUGUGGGACACCUACUACUUCUUCGGAUGUGGUCGUUCUAAUAUUUGAUUGUCGUGUGGGACACCUACUACUUCGGAUGUGGUUGUUCUGAUGUUUGAUUGUCGUGUGGGACACCUACUACUUCUUGGGAUGUGGUCGUUCUAAUAUUUGAUUGUCGUAUGAUGCACCUACUACAUACUUCUUCGGAUGUGAUCAUUGUUUGAUUGUCGUGUGGGACACCUACUACUUCUUCGGAUGUGGUUGUUCUGAUGUUUGAUUGUCGUGUGGGACACCUACUACUUCUUGGGAUGUGGUCGUUCUAAUAUUUGAUUGUCUUGUGAUGCACCUACUACAUACUUCUUCGGAUGUGGUCAUUCUGAUGUUUGAUUGUUGUGUGCGAUAUCUACUACUUCUUCGGAUGUGGUCCUUGUUGGUUUCUUCCCAAAAUACUAUAUAUUUCCAAAUAAUGCAACAAACGUGGGAGGCAACAACCCAAGCUCGGAUGUCAAAGCGGGAGGCAACUGAUGGAUCUUCAUACACUCGUCUAGCUAAGGUUGUCUUGCUGAUGCCUCCCAUACCUUUAAUGGAAACAAUUUCUCGUUGCCUUGAUGAAUGCUGAAUUAGCAUCGCCUUUACAAUGUGGAACUCACUGUUUUUACCCACCAUUAUGCUCAGGGGCGGAGGCACAUGGUGGACUUGAAGACAAAAGGUUUGGGAAAGCACCAAGCAAUAUUUCAUUUCGGCAGUCACAGUAGUGGAGAAAAAAACAAGCAGGCAACAAGUAAUGGUACUUUGUAAAGAGGAAAGCCAACCAUUUUCUUAAAUUUCGGUAGAAGAGUGGAAUUACUCCGUAUUAUACUCCACUAUUCCCAUUCAUUGUAUUCAGUAGGUGAGCAGGCAGCAAGCAGAGAGAGGAAAACCAAGUUCGUCUCUCUGACUCUCUCUCUUUCUCAUUUCUCUUUUCUUAAAUUUCUCAUAAAUUUCGAGAUUAUUCCAUCAUUGACUUCCUUAAUUUAUAUUUGUAUCCCUUUCUGGGUGCCAUUGAAAUAAAUGCAGGAAGAAAAAGGGAAAUUAUGGGUAUUAUGAAUUGGAGAAUAAAGCUUUGAGCAA
Ipomoea triloba (trilobed morning glory) is the source of this 4029-nucleotide RNA transcript. It is a transcript of the gene named putative late blight resistance protein homolog R1B-14, with no coding region annotated. The record is from RefSeq and is a predicted model, not a curated record. Lineage: Eukaryota; Viridiplantae; Streptophyta; Magnoliopsida; Solanales; Convolvulaceae. The transcript has 4 exons.